Non-coding RNA from Ameiurus melas (black bullhead), 79 nucleotides. The record is from the annotation of a GenBank genome assembly. NCBI's taxonomy places the organism in Eukaryota, Metazoa, Chordata, Actinopteri, Siluriformes, Ictaluridae.
GGCAGUGGUGGCUCAGUGGUUAAAGGCUCUGGAUUACUGAAGGUUCAGGAGAUUAGGAGUUCAAACCUCAGCACUGCCA